UGGGUGAGGAGUUGAGUCCUCGUUUGAGAAAUGAGUUGUUGUGGAUAGAGUUUUGACUUGGGUUUUCUCUCCCAUGAUCUCGUGAACAAAGUCGAGCAUUCCCUCCGCGGAUGUGGCACAGUACUGUGUCUCUCCCGUUAUAGGUGAUGAUAAUUCACAUAUUCUCAAUGCAUCUUCCAUGGAUUUAGCCUGUGGAGAGUUUUCAGACAACGAGAAACGUUGAAGAAGGUUUUGGAGUUCCUUGAAUGAAAAUGGAAUGGAAUCGGCUGCUUUUUUGGGAAAGAAAUUUUGCGGGGAAUUAGAAGGAGAAGAAAUUAGAUUUAUUCUUUUUUGAAAGGAGAGAGUUACUGUUUUCCCCAUCUUUAGAUCAUCCUGAAGGAAGAAAAUUGAUGCUAUCGAAGGAUCAUCCAUAUGUGUAUGGGAUGAUGAAUGCAUUAUAUGUUCAUUCCUUCUUUUCACUUGCUCGUUGUUUCCCUCUUUAUCAAAAAAGAGGGGAAUCGCCAGCUUUUUGU
RNAcentral lists this long non-coding RNA (512 nucleotides) under Capsicum annuum. RNAcentral's name for it is "long non-coding RNA (CANN_LNC020079)". Lineage: Eukaryota; Viridiplantae; Streptophyta; Magnoliopsida; Solanales; Solanaceae. The record is from RNAcentral.